RNAcentral lists this ribosomal RNA (484 nucleotides) under uncultured bacterium. RNAcentral describes it as "partial 16S ribosomal RNA". It matches the Rfam family "Bacterial small subunit ribosomal RNA", at positions 30 to 507 of the family's 1533-position model. The record is from RNAcentral.
AUUGAACGCUGGCGGCAGGCCUAACACAUGCAAGUCGAGCGGAUGAAGGGAGCUUGCUCCUGGAUUCAGCGGCGGACGGGUGAGUAAUGCCUAGGAAUCUGCCUGGUAGUGGGGGAUAACGUCCGGAAACGGGCGCUAAUACCGCAUACGUCCUGAGGGAGAAAGUGGGGGAUCUUCGGACCUCACGCUAUCAUAUGAGCCUAGGUCGGAUUAGCUAGUUGGUGGGGUAAAGGCCUACCAAGGCGACGAUCCGUAACUGGUCUGAGAGGAUGAUCAGUCACACUGGAACUGAGACACGGUCCAGACUCCGACGGGAGGCAGCAGUGGGGAAUAUUGGACAAUGGGCGAAAGCCUGAUCCAGCCAUGCCGCGUGUGUGAAGAAGGUCUUCGGAUUGUAAAGCACUUUAAGUUGGGAGGAAGGGCAGUAAGUUAAUACCUUGCUGUUUUGACGUUACCAACAGAAUAAGCACCGGCUAACUUCGUG